GUGCCAGCAGCCGCGGUAAUACGAAGGGGGCAAGCGUUGUUCGGAAUCAUUGGGCGUAAAGCGCGUGUAGGUGGUCUAUUAAGUCGGGUGUGAAAUCCCUGGGCUCAACCGAGGAAGUGCAUUCGAAACUGAUAGACUAGAAGGUGGUAGAGGAUGGUGGAAUUCCAGGUGUAGAGGUGAAAUUCGUAGAUAUCUGGAGGAAUACCGGUGGCGAAGGCGGCAUCCUGGACCAAUUCUGACACUGAGGAGCGAAAGCCAGGGGAGCAAACGGGAUUAGAUACCCCAGUAGUCC
Molecule: ribosomal RNA, 292 nt
Filed under: uncultured bacterium
Lineage: Bacteria
Description: partial 16S ribosomal RNA
Rfam family: Bacterial small subunit ribosomal RNA
Source: RNAcentral